This 301-nucleotide ribosomal RNA is filed under the name uncultured bacterium. Its description in RNAcentral is "partial 16S ribosomal RNA". It matches the Rfam family "Bacterial small subunit ribosomal RNA", at positions 509 to 807 of the family's 1533-position model. The record is from RNAcentral.
CAGUAGCCGCGGGAAUACGUAGGUGGCGAGCGUUGUCCGGAAUUAUUGGGCGUAAAGCGUGCGCAGGCGGUUAUGUAAGACAGGUGUGAAAUCCCCGGACUUAACCUGGGAACUGCGCUUGUGACUGCACAGCUAGAGUAUGGCAGAGGGGGGUGGAAUUCCACGUGUAGCGGUGAAAUGCGUAGAGAUGUGGAGGAACACCAGUGGCGAAGGCGACUCUCUGGUCUGUAACUGACGCUGAGGAGCGAAAGCGUGGGGAGCGAACAGGAUUAGAUACCCCCGUAGUCCCUGUCUCUUAUAC